AAUGAGGUGUGGCUGUUGCCCAGGAAUAGUCAGGGAAGCAGAUAAUUUAGUUAGUGCCUUGGCCUAAUAAGGGAACUGGGCAGGUGGAAUAAAUAAAAAGGAGUGCUUAAAAGAGUAUGUCUAAAUCGGCACCAGAGUUGGGGAGUUUUAAGAGGCUUUGUGUGAGCAACAAGGCUGUUUAUUUCACCUGGGGGAAGGCGGGCUGAGUCCGAAAAGAGAGUC
Molecule: long non-coding RNA, 222 nt
Filed under: Homo sapiens (human)
Lineage: Eukaryota; Metazoa; Chordata; Mammalia; Primates; Hominidae
Description: non-protein coding lnc-TUSC1-1:1
Source: RNAcentral